UUCCGGUUGAUCCUGCCGGAAGCCAUUGCUAUCGGGGUCCGAUUUAGCCAUGCUAGUUGUGCGGGUUUAGGCCCGCAGCAAAUAGCUCCGUAACACGUGGCCAAACUGCCCUAUGGAGAGAAAUAACCUCGGGAAACUGAGGCUAAUGUCUCAUACGGCUUCGACGCUGGAAUGCCCGAAGCCCGAAACGCUCUGGUGCCAUAGGAUGUGGCUGCGGCCGAUUAGGUAGACGGUGGGGUAACGGCCCACCGUGCCGAUAAUCGGUACGGGUUGUGAGAGCAAGAGCCCGGAGACGGAAUCUGAGACAAGAUUCCGGGCCCUACGGGGCGCAGCAGGCGCGAAACCUUUACACUGCACGCCAGUGCGAUAAGGGGAUCCCGAGUGCGCAGGCAUAGAGCCUGCGCUUUUCUGAACUGUAGGGAGGUUCAGGAAGAAGAGCUGGGCAAGACCGGUGCCAGCCGCCGCGGUAAUACCGGCAGCUCGAGUGAUGGCCGAUCUUAUUGGGCCUAAAGCGUCCGUAGCUGGCCUGGCAAGUCCGUCGGGAAAUCCACCCGCUCAACGGGUGGGCGUCCGGCGGAAACUGCGAGGCUUGGGACCGGGAGGCUUGAAGGGUACGUCCGGGGUAGGAGUGAAAUCCCGUAAUCCUGGACGGACCGCCGAUGGGGAAACCACUUCAAGAGAACGGAUCCGACAGUGAGGGACGAAAGCUAGGGUCUCGAACCGGAUUAGAUACCCGGGUAGUCCUAGCCGUAAACGAUGCCUGUUAGGUGUGACUCCCACUACGAGUGGGUGUUGUGCCGUAGGGAAGCCGCUAAACAGGCCGCCUGGGAAGUACGUCUGCAAGGAUGAAACUUAAAGGAAUUGGCGGGGGAGCA
Molecule: ribosomal RNA, 875 nt
Filed under: uncultured archaeon
Lineage: Archaea
Description: bacterial SSU rRNA
Rfam family: Archaeal small subunit ribosomal RNA
Source: RNAcentral